Molecule: ribosomal RNA, 228 nt
Filed under: uncultured bacterium
Lineage: Bacteria
Description: partial 16S ribosomal RNA
Rfam family: Bacterial small subunit ribosomal RNA
Source: RNAcentral
UGCGUAGGUGGUGUGAUAAGUCAGAGGUGAAAGCCCACCGCUUAACGGUGGAAUUGCCUUUGAUACUGUCAGACUUGAAUAAGGUUGAGGUCGGCGGAAUGUGUCAUGUAGCGGUGAAAUGCAUAGAUAUGACAUAGAACACCAAUUGCGAAGGCAGCUGGCUAGACCUUUAUUGACACUGAGGCACGAAAGCGUGGGGAGCGAACAGGAUUAGAUACCCUGGUAGUC